GAUUGUUUUGACUGAGAUAAUUGUCUUGGCUGAGAUGAUUGUCUUGGCUGAGAUAAUUGUCUUGCCUGAGAUAAUUGUCUUGCCUGAUAUGAUUGUCUUGGCUGAGAUAAUUGUCUUGGCUGAGAUGAUUGUCUUGCCUGAGAUGAUUGUUUUGACUGAGAUAAUUGUCUUGCCUGAGAUGAUUGUCUUGGCUGAGAUAAUUGUCUUGCCUGAGAUAAUUGUCUUGCCUGAGAUAAUUGUCUUGGCUGAGAUAAUUGUCUUGCCUGAGAUGAUUGUUUUGCCUGAGAUGAUUGUCUUGCCUGAGAUGAUUGUCAUGAAGCAAGACACUGGUGUUACUGUUAUAGUGACAUCAACAUCACAAACACCAAAUGUAAAGUUUUCUCUUAAGUACAUACUUUAGUCAGUCUUAUUUCUUUGACUUAGUAACCUUUGUAUUGUUAACAUAUUUGUUUUAAUUAAAUGUGUUAAUUUAAAAGUACUUCUAAAAGACUAUUCUUAUUGUAAACCUGUUGCAUUGACAUUCCUGCAUUUCAUCUUUAAGUUGAGCAUUAAGCUCCACCCCUUAGUCAUCCAUUAGUGAAUGUCAGAGCAUUAAGCUCCACCUCUUAGACAUCCUUCAGUGACUGUUAGAGCAUUUAGCUCAACCACUUGAGUCAUUUUUCAGUGAAUGUCAGAGCAUUAGGUUCCAUACUUUAGUCAUCCUGCAGUGACUAAGAGUAUUAAGCCCCACCCCUUAGUCCUCCUUCAGUGACUGUAAGAGGAUAAGGUUCCAUCCUUUAGUCAUCCUUCAGUGACUUAGAGCAUUAAGCCCCACCCCUUAGUUCUCCUUCAGUGACUGUGAGAGGAUAAGGUUCCAUCCUUUAGUCAUCCUUCAGUGACUUAGAGCAUUAAGCCCCACCCCUUAGUUCUCCUUCAGUGACUGUGAGAGGAUAAGGUCCAUCCUUUAGUCAUCCUUCAGUAACUUAGAGAAAUAAGCCCCACCCCUUAGUUCUCCUUCAGUGACUGUGAGAGGAUAAGGUUCCAUCCUUUUGUCAUCCUUCAGUAACUUUAGAAGUUUAUUAUUGUGUAAUUGUUAGAUUCAUUCAAACUUUGGCUCAGUAUUGUUAACCUUGCUUGUAGAUAGGACAGCUAAUAUGUAGGAAACACAGAUUUGAGUGUAUUUAUACCUCCCAUUCUAUUUUCACAUGUUAGGUACUUGACCAAGAUUUGUUACUUUUAUUAACAGCAGUAAAGUACAUGACCAAGUAGUCAACAACCACAUGGCAUUUAUACAUGUAUUGGAAAAAUGGCUAUCAAUCAAGAAAUAGUUCAUUCAGUUUUUUUUAUUUUGCUGAAAAUACAUUUAUUUAUUGUAUAUUUGAUGUUUUUGUUGAGAUUUUCUGUAUGUGUUUUAUUUUUGAUGUGUUAAGCUUGAAGCAGGUAUAAUUAUUUAGUCUUAUUUUAUUUUAACCUGUAUAUAUAUAUAUAUAUAUCAUGCCAGAUGACAAAUUUUGCCAAACAUUUUGUCUUUCAUUUUAUUAAAUGUGCUUAUUUUUAAAUAGCUGAAUAUAAUUUUAUUUUAUGACCCUUGUUAAUUAUAUUUUAUUUGUUUAAAGUACAGUCUGGUGCAGUUAUAACCCCACCUGUGUUCUAUUAAAUGUACUUUAUCAAUAUUUAUUUGGAUUAAUUUAUUUUCUGAUCAGUCUUGAUGUUCCCUUUUUUAUUCUUAUGUAUCAUACCUUCUAAAUUUUACACAUGUUCACUUAGGUGUAAUGUUACAGUUACACAUGUGUACUUAUCUGUAAGGUUACAGUUACACAUGUGUAUUUAGCUGUAAGGCUACAGUUGCAUAUGUACACUUAUGUGUAAGGUUAAAGUUACACAUGUACACUUAGGUAUAAGGUUACCCUUACACAUGUACACUUAUGUGUAAGGUUAUAGUUAAUUAUGUACAAUUAGGUGUUUGAUUUCAGUUCACAUAUACACUUAUGUUUAUGGUUACAUUCACACAUGUACUCUUAAAGUAAGGUUACAGUUGCACAUGUACACAUAUGUGUAAGGUUACAUUUGCACAUGUACACUGAUAUGUAAUGUAUCAGUUACACAUGUAUACUUAUUUUUAAGGUUACAGUUACACAUGUACACUAAGGUGUAAUGUUACAGUUACACAUGUACACUUAUUUGUAGGUUAUAGUAACACCAUAUGUAUUUGUAAAGUAAAUAACUUCAUCUAUCUAGUCAUUCUGUUGUUUGUUAUUAUAUUAAUUUUGAUGAAUAUUAGGUAAUCCAACAUUAAUUAUUACCUUUACUUAGGGUUUUAUCUUUUCCUUCCUAAAAGAGAGUUAUUUCAGAAAUGAGAACAAUAAUUUAAAUUUUGGGUUGAUAAAUAUAGUAUUUUUGUAUAUCACACAAAUAUUUUUUGAGAAAUAGAUAAAAACAAAAAUCAAAAUUAAAAGAAUAAUGAUAAUAAUAAACGCAUGUUCUUGACAAAACUGUGUUCAUGUAACCAAAACCUGUCUCCUUGUUUCUUUACCUCAAUUAUUUUCUUUAAUUUCUAUGCGUGCAUUAAAUUAAUAACCUAUAAGAAUUUUAACUUUUUUUCCCCUGCUUUGUUGAGCUGUUUUCAUCACAUCGUAUCUCUCUGCUUUCUGAAAAAAUACAUGUCCCUUAGUCAUUUCUGGGGUGACUUAGAAUCACACUUUUUGUUAAACAGUCUUUAACAGUCUAGCUGAAAUCAAAGAUGGCCACCAUGAUUUAUUUAAUUUUGUGCUUAAUUGGAAUUAUUUAAAGGCUCAAUAAAGGAAAAAAAUAUAAGGGUAUAAUCAGUUUCACUUGCUCAAUAUGUCAAAUAAAAUGGCUACUUAUAUCUGAAAUUUCCUCCUUACAAAUUAUUUUAUUUACAUACGUUGUACUUUAAUCAUUUGUAUAUUGCUCUUUUGUUGCUGUUCUCUAAAAUUUAUGAUUUUGCUUUGUAAAUUAUGUAGUAAGACAGUAACCAUGGUAACAACAACAGGUUUUGUGCAAUCUUUUGAUUUAAAGAAAUCCAGAUAGAGUACCUCAGAAAUCAUACUGAAAUGGACAAUUGUUUGAUAAAUAAAUAGAUAUAUAUAUAUAUAUAUAAUGACAUAUUUUAUAUUAUUCAGCAAUUAAUUUACUUGAUGUAAGGGGGUUAGGCUAACUCUUUAAAUUGAGUUUGUAAAAGGCAGUUUCAUCAAUGCUUCUAAAGAUUUCAUGUGAAACAGAAUUAAAUAUUCUGUGUGACAUAGAAGCUUAGAAUAUAUUUAUGAAAAUGGUCGACUUAAACACAGUAGUGAUUUUAUAAGAGUUAUGUCCCUUAACUACCUCCUUAAUUUCAUUUUAAUGUAAGCUUAAGCAUAUUGCCUGCAUAGCAAAAACCAGUUCAAUAUUCUAUGAUUUGUUACUCCAAUGUCAGUUUUAAUACAUUUGUUUUGUAUUUGAUAGUAUGCCUCGUAUAGCAUGACUGGUACCUGAAUCAAUUUAUUUUCUUCAUGAUAACUUAUAUGUUGAGUAUAUUACUUAAUAAGUAAUUAAUAAAUAAAUUGUAAAGUGCAUCUUUUUUAGAAUCUAAGAACUAGUUCAUUUUUUGGUUAUUAUUUUUUUACAUGUCAGUCAAAUGCACUAGUCCUUCCAAGACAUCAUGUAUUGAUUUAAACAUGAAUAGCUCAAUAACUCAUUUUCAUUAUCAAAUUUUAGGACAUACAUAUAUUGAUAUAUUAUUUUUUAAAGUAGGCAUUUAAAGAAUACUUUGUAGCUCUUACAUACAAUUUUCCUUUUUUUCUAAUCCUUUGUCUCAUGUCCCUUUUUUUAAAGGUAAAUUAAUAUCUUAGUUGUCUCCCUUUUUUGAUAGGUAAAUGCAUAUUUUAGUUGUCUCUCUUAUCUGAUAGGUAAAUUCCUAUCUCAGUUGACUUUCUUUUCUGAUGGGCUAUUUCAUAUCUUAGUUGGCUCUCUUUUCUGAAGCUAAAUUCAUUUCUUAGUUGUUUCCCUUUUUGAAAGGCUAUUUUAGAUUUUAAGUUGUCUGGCUUUCCUGAUAGGGUAUUUUUGUAUCUUAAUUGUCUCCUAUCUCUCUAGGUUAUUUAAUUUCUUUGAUGUCAAUAUGGAGGUAAAAUUUUUUGACAUUUGAUUCGUUAAAACAUUUCUCAAAGCUGCCAAUUUAAUGAUACCCAAAAUUAAUCUAUUUUAUUAUUCCCUGUUUUAGAAUUUCCAUUCAAAUCAAUGAGUGACAUAAAACAAAACAAAAAUAAAAAAUUCUAUCUGAAAGGAAAUUAAGAACAAACUAUCAAAGGGAGGGAAUUUUUUAAAUGUAAUCAGGAAGUAAUUUACUAAUUUCAAUUUUGUUAGAAAACUUAGAUUGUUUGUUACAUAUGUUGUUACUAAUAAAUAUAUUUGUUAUCAUCGACAUGUGUUGCUAUAGUUACAACAUUGACCUUAACAUUCUCAUUCAUAGCCUUUCAUUCUUAGUUUAAUUAUUGCUGUUUAGAAUAUUGUGUAUAUAAGAAUAACAUCUUUAGUAGUUAAUUGUGAUACAUCAUGUUAAUAUUUUGCAGGCAAUAAAAUAACACUUAAAUAUU
Long non-coding RNA from Mytilus californianus (California mussel), 4568 nucleotides. RefSeq lists it as uncharacterized. The record is from RefSeq and is a predicted model, not a curated record. The transcript is spliced from 2 exons. Lineage: Eukaryota; Metazoa; Mollusca; Bivalvia; Mytilida; Mytilidae.